Molecule: ribosomal RNA, 253 nt
Filed under: uncultured bacterium
Lineage: Bacteria
Description: partial 16S ribosomal RNA
Rfam family: Bacterial small subunit ribosomal RNA
Source: RNAcentral
UACGUAGGGGGCAAGCGUUGUCCGGAUUUAUUGGGCGUAAAGAGCGUGUAGGCGGCUUGGAAGGUCAGCUGUGAAAACUCGAGGCUCAACCUCGAGACGUCGGUUGAAACCACCUGGCUAGAGUCCGGAAGAGGAGAGUGGAAUUCCCGGUGUAGCGGUGAAAUGCGCAGAUAUCGGGAAGAACACCCGUGGCGAAGGCAAUCCCCUGGGCCUGCACUGACGCUCAUGCACGAAAGCGUGGGGAGCAAACAGG